Molecule: ribosomal RNA, 633 nt
Filed under: uncultured fungus
Lineage: Eukaryota; Fungi
Description: eukaryotic LSU rRNA
Rfam family: 5.8S ribosomal RNA (bases 232-385)
Source: RNAcentral
CUUGGUCAUUUAGAGGAAGUAAAAGUCGUAACAAGGUUUCCGUAGGUGAACCUGCGGAAGGAUCAUUAUUGAAAUAAACCUGAUGGGUUGUUGCUGGCUCUCUAGGGGGCAUGUGCACACCUUGUCAUCUUUAUAUCUCCACCUGUGCACUUUUUGUAGACCUUUCAGGUCUAUGUUGCUUCAUUUACCCCAAUGUAUGUUAAUAGAAUGUUGUGACUAUAUAAUAUAUACAACUUUCAGCAACGGAUCUCUUGGCUCUCGCAUCGAUGAAGAACGCAGCGAAAUGCGAUAAGUAAUGUGAAUUGCAGAAUUCAGUGAAUCAUCGAAUCUUUGAACGCACCUUGCGCUCCUUGAUAUUCCGAGGAGCAUGCCUGUUUGAGUGUCAUUAAUGUAUAUAUCAACCCCCUCUUUGUUGAGUGGUUUGGAUGUGGGGGUUUGCUGGCCUCUUAAAUGGUUCAGCUCCCCUGAAAUGCAUUAGCAGAACAACCCUGUUCAUUGGUGUGAUAACUAUCUACGCUAUUGAAUGUGAAGGGAAUUUCAGCUUUCUAACUGUCUUUGGACAAUUCAUCAUUAAUGUGACCUCAAAUCAGGUAGGACUACCCGCUGAACUUAAGCAUAUCAAUAAGCGGAGGA